This 253-nucleotide ribosomal RNA is filed under the name uncultured bacterium. Its description in RNAcentral is "partial 16S ribosomal RNA". It matches the Rfam family "Bacterial small subunit ribosomal RNA", at positions 524 to 776 of the family's 1533-position model. The record is from RNAcentral.
UACGUAGGGUCCGAGCAUUGUCCGGAAUUAUUGGGCGUAAAGGGCUCGUAGGCGGUUUGUCGCGUCGGGAGUGAAGACUCAGGGCUCAACCCUGAGCGUGCUUCUGAUACGGGCAGACUAGAGGUAUGCAGGGGAGAACGGAAUUCCUGGUGUAGCGGUGGAAUGCGCAGAUAUCAGGAGGAACACCGAUGGCGAAGGCAGAUCUCUGGGCCGUAACUGACGCUGAGGAGCGAAAGCAUGGGGAGCGAACAGG